RNAcentral lists this unclassified non-coding RNA (337 nucleotides) under soil metagenome. RNAcentral's name for it is "partial contains 5.8S ribosomal RNA, internal transcribed spacer 2, and large subunit ribosomal RNA". The stretch from base 1 to 120 matches the Rfam family "5.8S ribosomal RNA", at positions 35 to 154 of the family's 154-position model. The record is from RNAcentral.
GAUGAAGAACGUAGCGAAAUGCGAUAAGUAGUGUGAAUUGCAGAAUUCAGUGAAUCAUCGAAUCUUUGAACGCACAUUGCGCCCCUUGGUAUUCCAUGGGGCAUGCCUGUUCGAGCGUCAUUUGUACUCUCAAGCUAAGCUUGGUGUUGGGUGUUUGUCCACUCCCUCGUGUUUGGACUCGCCUUAAAACAAUUGGCAGCCAGUGUUUUGGUAUUGAAGCGCAGCACAAUUUGCGAUUCUAGCCCAGAAUACUAGCAUCCAUCAAGUCAUUUUUAACGCUUGACCUCGGAUCAGGUAGGGAUACCCGCUGAACUUAAGCAUAUCAAUAAGCGGAGGA